RNAcentral lists this ribosomal RNA (468 nucleotides) under uncultured bacterium. RNAcentral describes it as "partial 16S ribosomal RNA". It matches the Rfam family "Bacterial small subunit ribosomal RNA", at positions 28 to 506 of the family's 1533-position model. The record is from RNAcentral.
GACGAACGCUGGCGGCGUGCUUAACACAUGCCAGUCGAACGGAAAGGCCCUGCUUUUGUGGGGUGCUCGAGUGGCGAACGGGUGAGUAACACGUGAGUAACCUGCCCUUGACUUUGGGAUAACUUCAGGAAACUGGGGCUAAUACCGGAUAGGAGCUCCUGCUGCAUGGUGGGGGUUGGAAAGUUUCGGCGGUUGGGGAUGGACUCGCGGCUUAUCAGCUUGUUGGUGGGGUAGUGGCUUACCAAGGCUUUGACGGGUAGCCGGCCUGAGAGGGUGACCGGGAAAAUGGGGGAGGGGGAAAGGGCCCAGAACACAAGGGGGGGAAGGGGGGGGGAAAAUGGAAAAAGGGGCGGAAGCCGGAGGAGGAAACGCCGGGGGGGGGAGGAGGGCCUUGGGGUUGUAAACCGCUUUCGCCGGUGAGGAAGGGGGGGUGAGGGAAAUGGGAAAAAAAGCACCGGCUAACCAGGG